AAGUUACCGUCUCAAAAAAAAAAAAAAAAAAGGAAAUGGGGUCUCACUCUGUUGCUCAGGCUGGUCUUGAACUUCUGAAUUUAAGUGAUCGUCCCCCUUUGGCCUCCUAAAGUGCUGGGAUUACAGGCGUGGCCCACCACGCCUGGCUCUGCUGUUAGAUUUUGAACAACUGCUUUAAUGGGGUGGAGCGGUAGGUUCCUGGGGAGUGGAGGCCAGACCACACAAGGUGGGUAAAGGCAGCUGUAGGCCUUUGCAGACCUCAUGAAGUGUUUGCUUCUGGUCUAGCCUUGUGCUGGGUGCUGAGUGGGAAAGGAACAAGAGAGACAACUGUGGUUCUUUGCCUUCAAGACCACAAGACCUUGGGGACAAGAAGGUGGCUGGUUUUUCACUGUGGGGCCACUGCAUGGCCCUGGGGUUUCUGAGAUCCCACCUAGAACAGCUCCCACCCUGUAGCUGGGUGAGCAGAGGGUGGCUGUGUCCUGGGUCUCUGUCUGGGGUGGUGGGCGGGUGUCAAUGGGGACAUGGGAUAUCAGAUCCUAGGGCUCCCAUGCUGACCCCUGUGUCCUUGGCAGAUAUCCCGCCCAGGUACCCGUUCCAAGCCCUGCCACCGCACUACGGGAGGCCCUACCCUUUCCUGCUGCAGCCCACGGCGGCCGCCGACGCGGACGGCUUGGCCCCUGAUGUGCCGCUCCCGGCUGAUGGGCCCGAGCGCCUGGCACUCUCACCCGAAGACAAGCCCAUCCGCUUGUCCCCCUCCAAGAUUACAGAGCCGCUGCGGGAGGGCCCGGAGGAAGAACCGCUGGCUGAGCGGGAGGUGAAGGCAGAGGUGGAGGACAUGGAUGAGGGCCCCACAGAGCUGCCGCCUCUGGAGUCGCCGCUGCCACUGCCCGCCGCGGAAGCCAUGGCUACCCCCAGCCCUGCAGGGGGUUGUGGAGGUGGCCUGUUGGAGGCCCAGGCGCUGAGUGCCACCGGGCAGAGCUGCGCAGAGCCCUCUGAGUGUCCAGACUUUGUGGAGGGGCCUGAACCACGGGUGGAUUCCCCGGGCCGGACAGAACCCUGCACCGCCGCCCUGGACCUGGGGGUGCAGCUGACAACCGAGACGCUGGUGGAGGCCAAGGAGGAGCCGGUGGAGGUGCCUGUGGCGGUGCCCGUGGUGGAGGCAGUGCCCGAGGAAGGCCUGGCGCAGGUGGCACCGAGCGAGUCCCAGCCCACCCUAGAAAUGUCAGACUGUGACGUGCCCGCCGGGGAGGGACAGUGCCCGAGCCUGGAGCCCCAAGAGGCCGUGCCUGUACCCGGCAGCACCUGCUUCCUGGAAGAGGCAAGCUCUGACCAGUUCCUGCCCAGUCUGGAGGACCCACUGGCUGGCAUGAAUGCCCUGGCGGCAGCUGCGGAGCUGCCCCAGGCCAGGCCUCUGCCCUCCCCGGGUGCUGCUGGAGCCCAGGCCUUGGAGAAGCUGGAAGCAGCCGAGAGCCUUGUCUUGGAGCAGAGCUUCCUGCAUGGCAUCACCCUGCUAAGUGAGAUCGCAGAGCUGGAGCUGGAGAGGAGGAGCCAAGAGAUGGGAGGUGUGGAGCGGGCCCUGGUGGCGCGGCCCUCCCUGGAGAGUCUGCUGGCAGCUGGCAGCCACAUGCUGAGGGAGGUGCUGGAUGGGCCCGUGGUGGACCCACUCAAGAACCUGCGGCUCCCGCGGGAGCUGAAGCCCAACAAGAAGUACAGCUGGAUGCGGAAGAAGGAGGAGCGGAUGUACGCCAUGAAGUCCUCCCUGGAGGACAUGGAUGCCCUGGAGCUGGACUUCCGGAUGCGGUUGGCCGAGGUGCAGCGCCAGUACAAGGAGAAGCAGCGGGAGCUGGUGAAGCUGCAGCGCCGCCGGGACUCCGAGGACAGGCGCGAGGAACCCCAUAGAAGCUUGGCACGCAGAGGCCCUGGCAGGCCGCGGAAACGGACCCACGCCCCGAGCGCCCUGUCGCCCCCCCGCAAGAGAGGGAAGAGCGGCCACAGUAGCGGAAAGCUAAGCAGCAAGUCUCUACUGACAUCAGAUGAUUACGAGCUCGGAGCAGGGAUAAGAAAGAGACACAAGGGGUCUGAGGAGGAACACGAUGCCCUCAUCGGAAUGGGGAAAGCCAGGGGGAGGAACCAGACUUGGGAUGAACAUGAGGCCUCGUCCGACUUCAUCAGUCAGCUAAAGAUUAAGAAGAAGAAGAUGGCCAGCGACCAGGAGCAGUUGGCAAGCAAGCUCGACAAGGCCCUCUCCCUCACCAAGCAGGACAAGUUGAAGUCGCCCUUCAAGUUUUCGGACAGUGCUGGGGGGAAAUCGAAAACUAGCGGGGGCUGCGGCAGGUACUUGACUCCUUACGACAGCCUGCUGGGGAAGGACAGGAAGGCGCUGGCCAAGGGCCUCGGCCUGUCUCUGAAAUCCUCCAGAGAAGGUAAACACAAAAGGGCAGCCAAAACCAGGAAGAUGGAGGUGGGGUUCAAGGCCAGAGGCCAGCCCAAGUCGGCCCAUUCCCCGUUUGCCUCGGAAGUGAGCAGCUACUCUUACAAUACGGACUCAGAGGAAGACGAAGAAUUCCUGAAGGACGAGUGGCCCGCCCAAGGCCCCUCCAGCUCCAAACUGACGCCUUCCCUCCUGUGUAGCAUGGUGGCAAAGAACAGCAAGGCAGCUGGUGGCCCCAAGCUGACCAAGAGGGGCCUGGCGGCCCCCCGGACUCUGAAACCCAAGCCGGCCACCAGCAGGAAGCAGCCGUUUUGUUUGCUGCUUCGAGAGGCGGAGGCGCGUUCCUCCUUCAGCGACUCUUCGGAGGAAUCGUUUGACCAAGAUGAGAGCUCGGAGGAGGAGGACGAGGAGGAGGAGCUUGAGGAGGAGGACGAGGCCAGCGGUGGCGGCUACAGGCUGGGUACCCGGGAGCGGGCCCUGUCGCCGGGCCUGGAGGAGAGUGGGCUGGGCCUGCUGGCACGCUUUGCCGCCAGCGCCCUCCCCAGCCCCACGGUGGGUCCAUCCCUGUCUGUGGUACAGCUGGAGGCCAAGCAGAAGGCCCGGAAGAAAGAGGAGCGGCAGAGCCUGCUGGGCACAGAGUUCGAGUACACCGACUCAGAGAGCGAGGUCAAGGUGCGCAAGCGGUCGCCUGCGGGGCUGCUGCGGCCCAAGAAGGGGCUGGGGGAGCCGGGACCCUCCCUGGCCGCACCCACGCCUGGCGCCCGCGGUCCCGGCCCCAGCAGCCCAGACAAGGCCAAGCUGGCGGUGGAGAAGGGGCGCAAGGCCCGGAAGCUGCGGGGCCCAAGGAGCCUGGCUUCGAGGCGGGGCCCGAGGCCAGC
Molecule: long non-coding RNA, 3309 nt
Organism: Pan paniscus (pygmy chimpanzee)
Lineage: Eukaryota; Metazoa; Chordata; Mammalia; Primates; Hominidae
Source: Ensembl